Long non-coding RNA from Sander lucioperca (pikeperch), 114 nucleotides. RefSeq lists it as uncharacterized. The transcript is spliced from 3 exons. The record is from RefSeq and is a predicted model, not a curated record. NCBI's taxonomy places the organism in Eukaryota, Metazoa, Chordata, Actinopteri, Perciformes, Percidae.
UUUAGUGGAAAGGGGGGAGGGACUGACAAGUUGUCGAUGUUCAAAUUUUUUGGUUAAGUCCUGGAUCUUCACAAUCCCACCUAUGGCACCUUUAAAAUAAAAAAUGUUCUUAUU